Molecule: transfer RNA, 69 nt
Filed under: Marmota monax (woodchuck)
Lineage: Eukaryota; Metazoa; Chordata; Mammalia; Rodentia; Sciuridae
Description: tRNA.Ala
Source: RNAcentral
GGGGCUAUAGCUCAGUGGCAGAGCUCUUACCUAGCAUGUGUGAGGCACUGGGUUUGAUCCUUAGCACCA